GAUGAACGCUGGCGGCGUGCCUAAUACAUGCAAGUCGAGCGAACGGGCGAGAAGCUUGCUUCUCUGCUGUUAGCGGCGGACGGGCGAGUAACACGUGGAUAACCUACUUAUAAGACUGGGAUAACUUCGGGAAACCGUAGCUAAUACCGGAUAAUAUUUUGAACCGCAUGGUUCAAAAGUGAAAGACGGUCUUGCUGUCACUUAUAGAUGGAUCCGCGCUGCAUUAGCUAGUUGGUAAGGUAACGGCUUACCAAGGCGACGAUGCAUAGCCGACCUGAGAGGGUGAUCGGCCACACUGGAACUGAGACACGGUCCAGACUCCUACGGGAGGCAGCAGUAGGGAAUCUUCCGCAAUGGGCGAAAGCCUGACGGAGCAACGCCGCGUGAGUGAUGAAGGUCUUCGGGUCGUAAAGCUCUGUUAUUAGGGAAGAACAUAUGUGUAAGUAACUGUGCACAUCUUGACGGUACCUAAUCAGAAAGCCACGGCUAACUACGUG
Molecule: ribosomal RNA, 497 nt
Filed under: uncultured bacterium
Lineage: Bacteria
Description: partial 16S ribosomal RNA
Rfam family: Bacterial small subunit ribosomal RNA
Source: RNAcentral